AGGCUGGUCCCAACUUUGCGUGGGCUUCGCGUGGGCCCGGCCUCGCCGCUGCAGUCGCCCGCCUGGCAUGGCCAACUGGGUGUUCUGUAAUCGCUGCUUCCAGCCGCCCCACAGGACGUCGUGCUUCAGCCUCACCAACUGCGGGCACGUGUACUGCGACGCCUGCCUCGGCAAAGGUAAAAAGAAUGAAUGCUUGAUUUGUAAAGCUCCUUGUCGUACAGUUUUACUUUCAAAGCAUGCGCAGUGGCUCACACCUGUAAUCCCAGCACUUUGGGAGGCUGAGGCAGGCGGAUCAUGAGGUCAGGAGAUCGAGACCAUCCUGGCUAACAUGGUGAUUUGCAGAUUAAAAUCAAGUCUUUGGCAUCUGGAAAUUAUAGACAGGAGUUUUAAUAUUGUGGAUAUCAAGCCUGACAAUAUGGAAGAGCUAACAGGUGAUUUCAGCCGCAGAAUUCCAUCUGAACAGCUGUAACACAUCUGUAUCUAGCAGC
This 488-nucleotide small RNA is filed under the name Pan troglodytes (chimpanzee). Its description in RNAcentral is "processed transcript". Lineage: Eukaryota; Metazoa; Chordata; Mammalia; Primates; Hominidae. The record is from RNAcentral.